Molecule: non-coding RNA, 111 nt
Organism: Methanosarcina barkeri str. Fusaro
Lineage: Archaea; Methanobacteriati; Methanobacteriota; Methanomicrobia; Methanosarcinales; Methanosarcinaceae
Source: Rfam
UACCUUUUCCAUUUGAGGUAAUCCUACUGUGACAUGCAUAAAUGGUAACGUUUGUGUGUGAAGCUCACACGACAAUAUCAAGAACUCAAGGAACCUGGCUUUGAUAAUUGG